RNAcentral lists this ribosomal RNA (526 nucleotides) under Enterobacter sp. 84. RNAcentral describes it as "bacterial SSU rRNA". It matches the Rfam family "Bacterial small subunit ribosomal RNA", at positions 1 to 522 of the family's 1533-position model. The record is from RNAcentral. Lineage: Bacteria; Pseudomonadati; Pseudomonadota; Gammaproteobacteria; Enterobacterales; Enterobacteriaceae.
UGGAGAGUUUGAUCCUGGCUCAGAUUGAACGCUGGCGGCAGGCCUAACACAUGCAAGUCGAGCGGUARCACAGAGAGCUUGCUCUCGGGUGACGAGCGGCGGACGGGUGAGUAAUGUCUGGGAAACUGCCUGAUGGAGGGGGAUAACUACUGGAAACGGUAGCUAAUACCGCAUAACGUCUUCGGACCAAAGUGGGGGACCYUCGGGCCUCAUGCCAUCAGAUGUGCCCAGAUGGGAUUAGCUAGUAGGUGGGGUAAAGGCUCACCUAGGCGACGAUCCCUAGCUGGUCUGAGAGGAUGACCAGCCACACUGGAACUGAGACACGGUCCAGACUCCUACGGGAGGCAGCAGUGGGGAAUAUUGCACAAUGGGCGCAAGCCUGAUGCAGCCAUGCCGCGUGUAUGAAGAAGGCCUUCGGGUUGUAAAGUACUUUCAGCGAGGAGGAAGGGGUUAAGGUUAAUAACCUUGGCGAUUGACGUUACUCGCAGAAGAAGCACCGGCUAACUCCGUGCCAGCAGCCGCGGUA